Molecule: ribosomal RNA, 494 nt
Filed under: uncultured bacterium
Lineage: Bacteria
Description: bacterial SSU rRNA
Rfam family: Bacterial small subunit ribosomal RNA
Source: RNAcentral
GAUGAACGCUAGCGGCAGGCUUAACACAUGCAAGUCGAGGGGUAUAGUAGCAAUACUAGAGACCGGCGCACGGGUGCGUAACGCGUAUGCAACCUACCUUUUACAGAGGGAUAGCCCCAGAGAAAUUUGGAUUAAUACCUCAUAGUGUUAUUAGAUGGCAUCAUUUGAUAACUAAAGUUCCAACGGUAAAGAUGGGCAUGCGUCCUAUUAGCUAGAUGGUAAGGUAACGGCUUACCAUGGCUACGAUAGGUAGGGGUCCUGAGAGGGAGAUCCCCCACACUGGUACUGAGACACGGACCAGACUCCUACGGGAGGCAGCAGUGAGGAAUAUUGGACAAUGGGCGCAAGCCUGAUCCAGCCAUGCCGCGUGCAGGAAGAAGCAUCUAUGGUGUGUAAACUGCUUUUUGUACGGGAAGAAACACUCCUACGUGUAGGAGCUUGACGGUACCGUAAGAAUAAGGAUCGGCUAACUCCGUAGCCAGCAGCCGCGGUAA